Molecule: regulatory RNA element, 80 nt
Organism: Flavobacterium sp. Leaf359
Lineage: Bacteria; Pseudomonadati; Bacteroidota; Flavobacteriia; Flavobacteriales; Flavobacteriaceae
Source: Rfam
CGAGAAGAGGAAAAAUUUGUACUGAUUGCAACCUCUGAUGCUGUCAAAACAGACAUCAUAAAAAUGCUAAAGCAGAAACC